Molecule: long non-coding RNA, 2272 nt
Organism: Pyrgilauda ruficollis (rufous-necked snowfinch)
Lineage: Eukaryota; Metazoa; Chordata; Aves; Passeriformes; Passeridae
Exons: 3
Source: RefSeq, a predicted model, not a curated record
AAAGCAAGGGUGGGGGAAGAAGAUGGUUGCAAUUAUUUAAAUAAAUAGCAUAUAAGCAACUGGUCUUAUUAAAGAAAUAGAAAUAAUAGGCUUAGUCUUUUCACAUCUUGUGCACUUAUAUGGAUUAUGACAAGCUCAGUUCUGUACAAAUAAUUUAAUGAAUGUACAACUUGCUUCUACAUGAUAGUACAUAUACCUAACUUGUGUUCUUUCUUUCUUUCUUUUUGAGGGGAUUAUAUUACAUAAACAUAGUACAUAGAAAAGGCAAAAAUUAUCAUCAAAUACUUUUGUGGCUCACUGACAAUGUUUACUGAAUUAAAAGGAUGAAAUUUCUUCCAUUCUGUUGGUUUCCUUGUAGUUCAUGGAUUUUAAUUGCUUUUGUCUCUGAGUUCAUCUAGCUCUGAUUCAUGACUGCUGCAUCACUAAACCUGCAGAAAAAUAAAUUUUCAGCCUUCCCAGUCACCUUCCUUUUAUGGAAAAAAACUAAUAGAGGAGUAUUUGUCUCAAUCCACACAAGGUCAACACAAACAAAGACAAGCAGAAAAAGACAAUUCUGAGGGAAUGACUGGACACAGAUAUGUGAAGAACAUUAUAUGUUUCCCUGCACCAACAUCUAAACAGUCACUGGCAACUUGCCUAGAUAUUUUGUAUGCUACGUGUCUGUCAAAUAGCUCAAAGAUCCAGAUGCAGAAUCUGGCAAUUAUGACAUUCUGGUGAUGCCUUUCAACUCUUCAGCUUGUGAUUAGGAUACAGAGAAGCAUAAAUAUAAUGAUUUUUAAUCAGGUAUCUUUUUUCAGGCACUGUUUUAUUUAUCAGAAAAUUGACAUAUAUUUCCCUCACUUCAUCAAAACAGUAUUUCAAAAACUCCUUUUCUUUUCAUUCUUUCUAGAGGAAAGGUUCUAAGGGCAAACUUCUCUCUUAAAUAAUGGAGAACAGUCAUUCAAUUGUGGCAUCAGCCUUCCCAAUAUCACUUCCAUAGAACAAUGAGAAGGAAAUUGCUAGAAGUUUUAUAUGAAUGCAGUUAUGAAAUUUAAACUCUUACUUCUGAAGUGAAAGGACCAAAGUAUCUAAUACAGUAGGUACACUGAAAAAAUUAAGGGAUACUGCCUAUCUCAUGCAACUUACUAAAGAUAAACUAUAUGAGUGCAUUCUUGUGUUUCGCUUCAUAAUUUCUUUAUCCCAAGCCUUAGAGUUCUGCAACCAAAACUGCAGAAUGCUCCAUUGGGCUUGCAUCUUCACAGAUCCAGCAUAGUACAAUUGGUGCACUCGCAACUGCUCUGCAUAUCUAAUAGAUGGCAGGCUGACCGCACAAUGGUUAUGUCAUUGAGCCCACAGAUUAAUUUUGCAGAGACUCGGACAGGUUCAGAGGAGCUUCUCUGAUUCAUUAGUAACAUAUUAGGUAACAUUAAGAGAAUUUUUUUUUCAGCAAAACAUACUUUGCAAUUACUGAAAAAUAUACUAUAUAUAGUUUUGUCCUGUAAGUCCCUGUGUGUUCCAGAAAGCUGAAAGUCUUACCAGACAGCUUGUGCUCAGUUUUCUGACACCCACAUUGUCUCCUAAUAGACACUGCUCUAGUUUCCAUUGCUCUCUAAAGUGACUGAUGCUCUCACCAAUGAGCUAUUUGUCCUGUCACUCUGGAAGGACACCAGUGGUGUCCACCACCCCCAGCUUAGCACUUGGAUAGAGAAAAAUAGGUCAUUUAAUGCAGCUAAGGCAUAGGCAACACUGAGGAUUUGAAGAUAGGUUUUUCCUGCAAGCCUCAGACACUGCUGUGCACAGAAAUAUUCCUCCUCUGUUUACUUAAGAGGAGGUUGCUGGAGCAAGGAAAGCAAGUCUCCAGCAUGCCCUGUGUUCAUGUAACAUGUUUUCUCAAAGUGCUUCAAUUUCCUGUUGAGUUACCUAAAACAGUGGUCAUAAAACAGGUGACAACUAAAUCUUACAACUUGCAAGGACCUUGUUGUGUUUCUAAUACAAUGUUUUGAAGCCCUUCUCUUUGGAGCCAUGAGUGGAGUGUGUACUGCCCACGUAUGAAAAAGAGAGUUCCAUCCUAAUACCUCUCAAUGCCUGCAUGAGCUGAAGGGAAGUCAGAACAGAAGAUAAACUACUGUCCAUCUUCUAUACAUAAAAUCCACGAAUCAACAUAUGUGUUGGGAGCAGAGGAAAAAUAUUGCUUGCAAAUAACCUCCACCCCUCCAGCCUCCAAAAAAACACUGCUCCAGCUUCAGGACACUGGAGCAUCUUCCCACCACUGAGACCCCCAGCAGCCACAGAC